RNAcentral lists this ribosomal RNA (490 nucleotides) under uncultured bacterium. RNAcentral describes it as "partial 16S ribosomal RNA". It matches the Rfam family "Bacterial small subunit ribosomal RNA", at positions 28 to 507 of the family's 1533-position model. The record is from RNAcentral.
GAUGAACGCUAGCGGCAGGCCUAAUACAUGCAAGUCGAACGGGAUCCAGAUCAAAGCUUGCUUUGGUCUGGUGAGAGUGGCGCACGGGUGCGUAACGCGUGAGCAACCUACCCUUGUCAGGGGGAUAGCCCGGCGAAAGUCGGAUUAAUACCGCAUGACAUCAUUGAGAGGCAUCUUUCGAUGAUCAAAGAUUUAUCGGACAAGGAUGGGCUCGCGUGACAUUAGCUAGUUGGUAAGGUAACGGCUUACCAAGGCUGCGAUGUCUAGGGGCUCUGAGAGGAGCAUCCCCCACACUGGUACUGAGACACGGACCCGACUCCUACGGGGGGCAGCAGUAAGGAAGAUUGGGCAAUGGACGGAAGUCUGAACCAGCCAUGCCGCGUGCAGGAAGACGGCCCUAUGGGUUGUAAACUGCUUUUAUACGGGAACAAGCGUCGGUACGUGUACCGGUCUGAGUGUACCGUAAGAAUAAGGAUCGGCUAACUCCGUG